GACGAACGCUGGCGGCGUGCUUAACACAUGCAAGUCGAACGGAAAGGCCCUGCUUUUGUGGGGUGCUCGAGUGGCGAACGGGGGAGUAACACGUGAGUAAACUGCACUUGACUUUGGGAUAACAUCAGGAAAAUGGGGAUAAUACCGGAUAGGAGAUACUGAAGCAUGGGGGGGGAUGGAAAGAUUCGGCGGUUGGGGAUGGAAUCGAGGCUUAUCAGCUUGAUGGUGGGGUAGGGGAUUACCAAGGCUAUGAAGGGUAGCCGGCCUGAGAGGGUGACCGGCCUCAUUGCGACUGCGAUACGGCCCAGACUCCUACGUUCGGCAGCAGUGGGGAAUCUUGCACAAUGGGCCGAAGCCUGAUGCAGCGACGCCGCGUGCGUGAUGACGUCCUUUGGGGUGUAAACCGCUUUCGCCUUUGACGAAGCGUGCGUGACGGUAAUGGGUAAAGAAGCACCGGCUAACUACGUG
RNAcentral lists this ribosomal RNA (468 nucleotides) under uncultured bacterium. RNAcentral's name for it is "partial 16S ribosomal RNA". It matches the Rfam family "Bacterial small subunit ribosomal RNA", at positions 28 to 507 of the family's 1533-position model. The record is from RNAcentral.